RNAcentral lists this long non-coding RNA (572 nucleotides) under Sarcophilus harrisii (Tasmanian devil). Its description in RNAcentral is "lncRNA (ENSSHAG00000025935.1)". Lineage: Eukaryota; Metazoa; Chordata; Mammalia; Dasyuromorphia; Dasyuridae. The record is from RNAcentral.
GGCCAUGACAUCAGUGAAGUACAUGAGAGUCAUGGUUCAUAGUUUAAAAGAAUUAUGAGAUUCUCUUAAAGUCACAAAGAGUUUAUUUAUGACAUAACUGACAGGCUAAUCUAUAAAGGAAGUCUAGCAAAUUAGAAGUAAUUCAGGAGAGUUUUAUAUACUGAAAAUUUGGGGCCUACCUAGCAGGCUAACAGACUACAAGAUUGUAAAUUAUAAAUGAAGAAUAAGGAAGAAGCCAAGAAAUCUUUUCAUCCAGGUGAAGCUUUCCUUUCGCCUCCCUCCUCCAUCUCCACCUUGCCCACCACCACCCACUUCAGUCUGUCAUUUCUGAGAGUAUGACAAAAACAACAGUGCCUAAGCCCAUCUGUCCUUGGAUGCCAAGUCCACAUUGCUUCGCUCUGAGGAGAUUUUGUACCCACAUUUUCAGAGAAGGCAGUAAAUCACAAUUUUUUCAAGACUAUCAGGAAGAGCUUUUGUUUGUGUGUCUGCUGCUUCCAAAGAUGAGGGUUAGUCUUCUCCACAGCUUAGUUGAUGGUCCUUGAGAGCUGCUAAUGCCAAAAAAAGCAACCAAA